UACGUAGGUGGCGAGCGUUGUCCGGAUUUACUGGGCGUAAAGAGCGCGCAGGCGGUCGUACAAGUCGCGUGUGAAAGCCCCUGGCUCAACUGGGGAGGGUCACGCGAUACUGUUCGACUUGAAGGCAGGAGAGGGAAGUGGAAUUCCCGGUGUAGUGGUGAAAUGCGCAGAUAUCAGGAGGAACACCAAUGGCGAAGGCAGCACUCUGGGACGUGACUGACGCUGAGACGCGAAAGCGUGGGGAGCAAACAGG
This 253-nucleotide ribosomal RNA is filed under the name uncultured bacterium. RNAcentral describes it as "partial 16S ribosomal RNA". It matches the Rfam family "Bacterial small subunit ribosomal RNA", at positions 524 to 776 of the family's 1533-position model. The record is from RNAcentral.